GCUUAUGGUCAUAUUGUCCUGGACACGCCUGAUCUUAGAAGCUAAGAAGGGUCGGGUGUGGUUUGUUCUUAGAUGCACUGAAAAAUAAUGCAACCGUUUUUG
Molecule: ribosomal RNA, 102 nt
Filed under: Cyprinodon variegatus (sheepshead minnow)
Lineage: Eukaryota; Metazoa; Chordata; Actinopteri; Cyprinodontiformes; Cyprinodontidae
Source: RNAcentral